AGCUAAAUACCGGCCAGAGACCGAUAGCGCACAAGUAGAGUGAUCGAAAGAUGAAAAGCACUUUGAAAAGAGGGUUAAAUAGCACGUGAAAUUGUUGAAAGGGAAGCGUUUGCGACCAGACUUUUUCCAGGCGGAUCAUCCGGCGUUCUCGCCGGUGCACUCCGCCUGGUUGAGGCCAGCAUCGGUUUCCUUAGGGGGAUAAAGGCCUGGGGAACGUAGCUCCUUCGGGAGUGUUAUAGCCCCUGGCGUAAUACCCCUCGGGGGACCGAGGAACGCGCUCUGCAAGGAUGCUGGCGUAAUGGUCGUCAACGACCCGUCUUGAAACACGGACCAAGGAGUCGAACAUUUGUGCGAGUGUUUGGGUGUCAAACCCUCACGCGUAAUGAAAGUGAACGGAGGUGAGAGCCCUUACGGGUGCAUCAUCGACCGAUCCUGAUGUCUUCGGAUGGAUUUGAGUAAGAGCAUAACUGUUCGGACCCGAAAGAUGGUGAACUAUGCGUGGAUAGGGUGAAAGCCAGAGGAAAACUCUGGUGGAGGCUCGCAGCGGUUCUGACGUGCAAAUCGAUCGUCAAAUCUGCGCAUGGAGGGCGAAAGACU
RNAcentral lists this ribosomal RNA (597 nucleotides) under Anthocanalis spartii. Its description in RNAcentral is "eukaryotic LSU rRNA". It matches the Rfam family "Eukaryotic large subunit ribosomal RNA", at positions 314 to 932 of the family's 3401-position model. Lineage: Eukaryota; Fungi; Ascomycota; Sordariomycetes; Xylariales; Hypoxylaceae. The record is from RNAcentral.